GUUAUAAAAGGAUAAAUCUGAAAAAUAUUGCCAGUAUCGACAACAAGCCUUCAUCAUGUCGUUAAAAGCUGGUCUUUUAAUUUUCUGUAUUGUUAGUAUCAAUGCUAUGACCGUGGAUAACGGAGACGCUUUUGAUUGUCCAGCGAACGAAACAUAUGUCGAAUGUGAGUUGGCAGUUUGUGAGAAAUAUUGUAAGGACCUCGACACUCCUCCAGCAUGCCCUGGAUUAGCCAUAGGCUGUUACAUGCCCGCCUGUGUGUGCAAAGGAAACUGGUUGAGGAACAAAGAUGGCAUCUGUGUGCCGUUUCAAGAUUGUGACACAGUAAAGGCAACAGUGCACUAAAAAUAGACAAUAAACGCUACUGAGGUGCAAUAUUUAUGUCAAUUUUGUAUUAAAUUAAAUAUUUUUAAAAAUGUG
Molecule: long non-coding RNA, 418 nt
Organism: Pieris napi
Lineage: Eukaryota; Metazoa; Arthropoda; Insecta; Lepidoptera; Pieridae
Exons: 3
Source: RefSeq, a predicted model, not a curated record